GAGUGGAGAUUAUUUGAAAAUCAGGGAAGAGUACAGAAACUCGUAUAUUUUUGAAGAACUGAACAUUGCCUGAUUUUGCGCGGACCGAUUCUACUGGGCGAGCGUCUGACCGAACACUGACUUACUACACUGCCAGACACCGGUCUAAACGAAGCGAUACGAUAUGAGAAAAGAGAAAAGUCGUAGUUACCUGGAGAAGCUGAUAAUCCUAGGCAAUGAGGGCUCCGUGAUGCAGUGAUACUGGCAUGGCGCUUUCUGGUACGACACUGGAACUGUACUCGACUCGUGAAAUGUCCUACCUCGAAAGGUUCGUCUCCUGGACUGCCACCGUUCAGAAACCUACAUACACUCACACCUACUACCUGGUUGCUGGCACGCUAUUGAUCCUGGCCCAGACACCCGUCGACCCACGCAGACGCUUAGCGUUGCCGCGUCGCUUUAGCAACAUGACGUCAUUCGACUCCCCAAACCCCGUAUCGCAACGGAGCUAGUAUGAUGCAUCGUCCUUUUCUUCCUUCGUUUCGUACGGUUACCAUCACGAGCGCUACUAAUUCUCGCCUAACAUGUCCCACCUACCGUUCGUCUGACACUCGUACCUCUUCUACCUCCAAAUAUCAUGAUUUUCAACAUGACCGCAUCAAUUGACAUGUUCACACGUACCGAUAGAAUCAUAUAUAUUACCGUAAACAAAGGUUUCCAUAUUCUUUUCCCGAAUGUUUCCUGAUCAUUUCCAAAGUGCACGUUAUCGACGAUCAGACCUAUUCGGCAGAAUUUCAUGAAAAGAAUACUUUCGUUCGAUUAAUAUCGGAACGAUAUCGAAAUUUCCGAAAGCUAAAUCAAAUUCGAUCGUUUAUAUCGAUUGAUCGCACCGAUGUAUCUUAUAUAGAACGCUUUAAUUAUCGAUUAUUCUAAUGAUUUUUCGAGAGAAAUGCACCUUGAAUCAUUAAAAAUAAUUUUUCGAUUAUCGCAGAUUCUAGUAAGACAAAUAGAAUAGUAGAUCAUGGAAACUACGUAUAUGUCUAUAAAUUCAUCUUAUGUAAACGUAUUAUCACGUAGAACAUCAGCAUCAUAAACAUCAUAAAAUGCAAUUUUAAGAGCAAGAUAUACUUUAUUGUGACCUACAAAAAAAUUUGCUAGCAAUUUCAUAAACACAUGCAUAAGAAAGAAACAACACGUAUUUCAGUCUUUUACAUUUUUCUGAAUUUAUUUUAUUUACUUCAUAGAAUUACAUUCUAUACAGUAACUACACCUACAAAAUACGGAUAAAACAUAUUACUUAUCGAUCAAGGAUACAAUUUGACUGCGGAAUCCAUUGAUAGAAAAGAUUCUUCAUCAACUAAGUUGAUAAAAUCAUACGUAAUUAAUUGUUGAUGAAGAAAUUAAGAAAA
This is a long non-coding RNA of Bombus huntii, 1388 nucleotides long. RefSeq lists it as uncharacterized. The transcript has 2 exons. The record is from RefSeq and is a predicted model, not a curated record. NCBI's taxonomy places the organism in Eukaryota, Metazoa, Arthropoda, Insecta, Hymenoptera, Apidae.